AGCCAGAGUAUGAUAUUUAGUACGUCGAAUUUAGGUUUCGAAAGAAAUUAAAAUUUAUCUGGUUU
Molecule: transfer RNA, 65 nt
Filed under: Magallana hongkongensis (Hong Kong oyster)
Lineage: Eukaryota; Metazoa; Mollusca; Bivalvia; Ostreida; Ostreidae
Description: tRNA-Leu
Source: RNAcentral